CCUAUCUUAUUUCCCAAAGCUACACCUUGAACACAUAUAGUAAGUUAGUAACCAAUCAACCAUGGCAAAGGCCCAGGCAAUGGGCGCUCUCCUGACCGUCCUGGUGGUCCUCGCCACGUCGGCCGAGAUGGCGCACGGCAUCUGCAACCUGUCGAGCACCGGCAUCCGGGCAUGCCAGCCGGCGGCGGCCAUCCGCAACCCGACCGACCAGCCGUCGUCGGAGUGCUGCGCCGCCCUGGCGGGGGCCGACCUGCCGUGCCUGUGCCGGUACAAGAACGCCGCCGGCGUGUGGGUGAGGUUCUACAGGAUCGACAUCAACCGCGCCAUGGCGUUGCCGGGCAAGUGUGGUCUUGCGAUGCCAGCCAACUGCUGAUGAUCACCGGUGCCUUGCUGCGUAUACAGCUACUACUAUGUAGCUACGUGAUCGAAUAAAUGAUGCCCGUAAAAGACCUGUGUGUCAGAACUGUAUUAUGUAUUGUAUGUCCCGUCCACUGCAAAGUUGGACGCAUGAGUAUGAAUGGAGGAUCUUUCAUGACUCUCACAGAGCUUUAUUUGUGUUUGUCGAGCAAUCCUUAAUGAAAAUCAUUUGUUUUCAAGUCGUGGGAGUAGAGUCUUCAAAUGUAUACUGGAUAAAUACCAGAUGCACUAUUUUUAGAUAUUUUAGCGAUGGGAGAAAGGAGAGAGAAAACUGCAUUGUGGAAGAGAAGAAAAAUCUUUGCAGCAUGUACUUUUUCCAGACAUGGUUCAUAGUAGUAUAUUCAGAAAAAAUCACAUGAGUGAAAAGUUUAUGAAAAUGUCACUGACAAGCCCUUGAUCAUGGCUAUCAUCCUACUAGGAAAAUUAAAGCUUCUAUCUUCACAUGAGAGUAAGAAAUUGGAUGCUUAAUUAACUAGGAAUAAUCUGUAUUCCUGAAAUUGCUUUGGAGACAUGAUUUUGGGGCAAGUUUUUGAAGUACAAGUGAAUUGCUCACAUUUUCCUAUCAGUUUAAACUUUUAGGAUGGAUUGGUUGGUGCAUAUAACUCAAUGAAGCUAGUGGAGACCGUUGGCACAGUCUUUGUACGGAGGCAAACACUCGCUCUUGGAUUACAGCGCCAUAAAGCAACUCAUUAAAUAUUAUUGUGCUUGGUAGCUUUUCUUUUGUCUGCGAUAGCUAGAGUCCAGAAAUAACAAGCCGAAUAGAACAAUGAACUGUGUAUAUAGAAUUGUAUCGUGAAUUCCUUCGAUUUAUAUCAGCGCAUCCAGCUAGUGUUGGCUGGCAAUUGGCUGAAAAAAUGGUCAAUACAAAGACGAUAUAUGUGUUUUAACAAAAAAAUUUAGUGCCUGUCGACAUCUGCAUCAAACUUUUGGAGCCCUGGUCCUCAAAUGCUAUCAUGGAUGACCAGUAAGACCUGAGCUAUCGAUCAUGCAUGGACACUCGAUCAUGGGUGCUUGCCCAACCCAAUAGGCAAUAGCACUACGGAAGUCGGCACAGAAUUACAUUAAGAUAGCCAGACAUUGACACUAGAACAUAUUUAGGCAGUAUAAUUUUCUUAUGCAAUUCUCAUCAAGGCCUGUUAAGUUUUUGCAGAACACCACGAGAACUUAAACAUGUAUCAACGCCACUGUACUUUUAAAACAAUUAAUUCAUUUGACCUACUUAGAAUAAUUAACUAAAGUACACGACUGAAAGAAAAGAUGCAAUUGGUCUAUAUAUAUGUUUUUAAUGGAUUUUUUAUGGAGCAGUGGUGUAUGGAUGAAAACUACCAUGGGCUGAAUAGAAGAUUUGGUCAAAACAUUUAGCUUGUAUUCUCAGUUAACAAUUAUCUAGUUAUAAAUUUGAAUAUCUGAUUAAUUCUUGUAGUCUAUUGGAGCUUCUAUCUUAUAGAUAACUAGAUUCUAUAUAUAACACAAAAACUAUAGUACCAUACGGUACCCUUAAAAAUACUCCUACAUAAGAGAGAAUAACCAAACACUGACACUAAAUCGUCUCUUGGCAAAACCUUUUUAGAAGCACUUGUCCUCUCUCAAGCCAGUCCUGGCUAGUUUGCCAAUUAAGCUAGAUAGCACUCUUGACAAGUUGAUUGUUUUGUCGUCGUUUUAUUUAGAUUUCUUCAACGCUUUGCUUUCGAAGUCGUUCAAGCAUACUUUAUCAUCUUCGAAACACACGCACGCACGCACAAGUUCCAACAUUUCACGAUGUUGAUGGUUAUUUGUGCGUGGCUCUGUUAGUUAAUCUCAUUUUCAUUUAGAAGCUUCUCAAAUGGCCAAUGGUGUUUGCAUUGUAAUUUUUUUUUGCAUUUUUUCCUACUAAUGGUGCAAAAAAUUCCAGCAAAACAUUAUUGACUAAGAAUUACUGUCAAAAAAUUCACAAUAGAAAAAUUAUAAAAAAUUGACGACACUAUCAACAACUUAAUAAUGUAACUCUUGAAAAAUAAUGAGAUCAUCUAGUGAAUAUAGUAUCCAAACUUUCAAAACCUUGGCUAUAUAUAUAUUUGAAAACUUAAAUUUUAUCUCAAACGGAAUUUCACACUCUUAAAAAGAUUUGUUCAAUUUUAAAUAUAUUGUACAAUGGAAGUUUGUGGCCCAUCAAUUCUCAGAGACCUGGAGGCGUCCAACGAGGACGAAAUUCUUUACCAGUUAUGAAUUCCUUAACAUUUUUCUCUUUGCAAGGACCACACAUAUGAUCUCCCACUUUUGUUUUUAUUAGCAAUAUAGAACUUGUGUCCAGCUGGAAAUCACGUCGAUCGAAAGAACUAUCACAGGAAUAUUAGGUAUGUAGUAGCAAUACUUAUCAGUAAGAGCGUGACAUGUUCCACACUAUGGUCCUAUAAAUAGGAACUCGCACCAAGCUCUCUCUUCACACCAGCUCACGCAAAACAUAGAGCCGAAAACCCAAAACAACCAAGUCAGUAGCUCUUGCAAGAAAAUUAACAUUAGACACAAUGGCAAAAACACAAAAAUUAGCUGCACUGCUGCUUGCCAUUGUAGUUGCCCUCGCUACAAUGGAAGGCGCCCAUGCCAUCUGCGGGAUGGCGAACGAGGACUUCAAGCUGUGCCAGCCGGCGGCGGCCGUGAAUGACCCGACCGACAACCCGUCGGCGGAGUGCUGCGCCGCCCUUGGUAAGGCCGACCUGGGAUGCAUCUGCCGCUACCGGGGCGUCGCCGGCAUAUGGAUGAGGAUCUACCACAUCGACCCCAGCCGCGCCAUGGCGUUGCCGGGCAAGUGCGGCCUCACCAUGCCAAACAACUGCUCGUGAUGCCAUGCUCGAGUCUAUGAUCGCAUUCCCGCAAAAAAAAGUCUAUGAUCGUACAUCGUGCAUCCAUAUGACUAGCUUAAUAAGCGGAAGUGCGUGAAAGGCCUUGUGUGCUAGUGUUAUAGUGCCUGUGCUGAAAUAUUUAAAGUUGUUUUGAUAUGAAAGUGUGUGCAGAAGUGCACGACGUUUGUUGUCUAUCAGUUCAUAAUGUUAAGUGUAAGACUUAUGCUGAAAUUAUUAAAAUUUCUUUCAUAUGAAAAUGUGUGCAGAAGUGCACGACGUUUGUUGUCUAUCAGUUCAUAAUAUUAAGUACUCUAAGGCUCCCUUUGGUAGGCUUCAGAAGGUGCUUCUCCACCGGCUCCAUCCGAAGCCCUGUCAAAUGGUAGGAGUUGGUAGGAGGGCAAAUGGCUUCAUUUGAGAAGCCCUUGAAAAAAAAACCCGGCUCCCCGCAGCUCCUCCCCGUCUGUGGGACCGAAGCCUCGAGUUUGCCCCUGAGCGACCAGGUGAGGUAGCAGCAGAGGACGACGAGCGCGGGCAAGGCAGGGGUGGAGGAAGGCAGCUGCGUGUGGAGGCAAGGUGGAGGAAGAUGGUAGCGCGGGCGUAGGCGCCCGGCGGGCUGGUAGAAAUGGCCGGGAGCAUGAGGCAGGGGAGGAGGAGUAGGCGGUGGGCGGCAGCACUUGCGGGGUUGGGACGGGAAGCUACAGCGGCGCUUGCAUGCCUGAGAUGGGCAGCGGCGGCAGCAUUCGCGUGGCCAGGACCGAAGGCAACGGCGAUGCAGCAUGCUGGCUGGGAUGGGAAGCCGUGGUGGUGGAGAUACUCGUGCGACGACAAAUCGGGACGGCGAGGCUGGAGUGGAGCGCUCAGGCCAUCCGGCGUCGGAGUACGCUCCUGGUAGGAGAAGGGUGGUGGGGAGGAACGGGAGUGACUCGUGGAGAGGAUGAGGGUGUUCGGAUAAGGAAGAAAAGGUAGGAGGGAAGGAAAUAAAAUAGAAAGGGGAAAAUGGAAGAGAAAAAAAAGGAGGGGAGAAAAGGAACGGGAGAAAGAAGAAAAAGAAAAAAUGAUCAAUAUGUAAUUAUACUCAUUAACCUUUUUGAUUUAUAUGAACAACUAAAUCAAUUUGGUAAGGUAAAUUGGACAUUUGGCCACUUUCAUUCACUUAUGGGGCACGAGAAGCUGUUCUACCAAAUACUUUUUAGAACGGUUUCAGCUCCAGAGGAGUUACAGCCGGAGCUGUUUCAUCCACAACUACAGCCCUACCAAACGAGUCCUAAGUUCUGCAGAAUACUAUCUGUUAUGGUUUAGAAGCAUAUGGAUCCAGAAGCAUGUUCUACAAACUAAAUCAGAUUCUAGCAUGUUAUUAAGUCGAAUUGCGUCCUGGGACGAGGGCAUGCAUACAUAGUAAAUAGUAUUUUAUGCAGGAAUUAAUGACUAAAAUGUUCGGCAUAUUUUAACCGCACAUUAGAAAUUAACAAUGAUGGGAGUCGUUUGCUGACUUCAACCAUUAUAUUUUCCUUAAUAAACUAUAAAAAGGAGAUCAAUGCUUUUUAAUGUUAAGGUGUACUUUGUGUAUCAUAUUCCAUCAUCUGAAAGAAACAACAGUUUGCGACUGCAACCAUUAUUGGAAUUCCCAUACAUGCGCUGAUAUUCCAUUAGUAUGGUGUUAUUAUGAUUUUUCCGUAAUUUUUAGCACAUGUUUGGCAUUCGUAAGAACCGAAUCAUGAAAUAAUUGAAUGAAAGUUUACUUUAAUUACAUCAUCCACACUAAAGAAAUACUAGGCGUCUCUAUGUUUCCUUUUAAUCUCUCUCCGGGGUUUAGUCUUUCUUUCUGGUUAAUUGCAUCGUGGCUUUGUUAUUUACUAAAAUGGGCAACUACUAAACCAGGUUAGCUAGAACCCUGUAAACUGAGCCUCUUGCUUGUUCCCAUUGUUUACUUUCAUCCGAUCUUUCCCAUUGUUUACUUUCAUCCGAUCUUCGAAAGUGCAGUAACGAUUGCUGUCAUUCUUUUGAAUGCCGUAGUAAAAGGACAGGAAACUAAACAAAGAAAUUCAUGCACCAAACUGCGCUUUACGGCCUGGCAUGCCAUCUCACGCGCAUAUCACGAGCUGUGCAGACAUUAUGAAGAGAGGUCGGCAUAUAUUAUCUCUGCUACUAUACUUUUGUUCACUUUUGUUGAUCAGGAUAUUUUUGCUAUAUGUGGCCGUCCCCAUCAUUUGGCACAACUGACUGAUGUCAGCAGAGCACGAUCUAUCAGCAGCAGCUCGCUGCUCGUAGACAUCAUAUCAAUCUCAGAAUGGAGUGUUUGCCAUGACAGUAGUGCUUCGAUAUCCGGACGAAUUCGUCAAGGAAAGCUGCCCAGCCUUUGCUGCAUGCAUGAAUGUCUUAGGCGGAAUCAUAUCCAUACAGAAAAAGCAAUGGAGUAAGUUCAUAUGAGUGAAUUCUGGAUCGACCAAGAUAUAGGGGGGAAAAACAAAACUUGAAUCCCUAAUUGCUCCGCUACGGGCCGCAGUAAGUAAAGAACUGUAGAAAACUUACACUAAUCCAUUUGCAUGCACAAAGCCUUGAAAGUUUUGAAUGCUUUUCAAUAUUCCUUCUGUUCUAAAAUAUAAGGUGCUGUUUGAGUUGAGGUCUCCAAGAUUAAGCAUUGACCUCUAAUUUAUCAAAUAAUCAAUUAUUUCUAUUGCAUCCAACGUUUUUAGAUGAACACACCGAUGUUGAGCAUGAUCCAAAUUCUAAUGAGACUGGCGUGUUGUAGUUACACAGUUCCAUUAUGUCUCUCCAUAUAAUGCCAUGCGGUUCUCCUGCAUGUUCAAUAGAAAAUGUCAACUCUGAUCAGGCUUUGUAUUAAAAAACAUAUUGGAAUUGUUUAUAUGAUACCUUUAUAAACUAUAGAAUUCUCCCAAAAUACAAAAGUGCUAUAUGUGUGCAAACUACUGUUUAUUAGAAAUGGCCACUAUACAUCAACAUUUCAUUGUGAAUCUAUUACUGAUCAUGAAGGGGCCAAGACGACAGACUUGGAUUUAUUACGAUAGGAUGCAAUUCCACUCCUACGCACCUUACUUGAAUGGAUUUUGAUAAAUGUACUUGACUAUUAUGUUGCAUCUAUUCAUGAGGUAGUCGAUCAGUUUCCCCUCAAGGAUUGUUGGAUUGUAGCUAGUGAGUUAACCACGUCAGGUUUUUAAAAAUAAAUAAUGUUGAGCUCCUUAGUGCUGAAAUCACGAUGAACGAUCAAGCUUUACUUUUUACCUUUUUUCAAAUGUGUAUUUUACUGCUGGAAAAGAAGCUUUUUUUUCCUGCAGGGCCGUCGCAAUGUACUCGAAAACGAGGAGUAAGGAUCACUUUGUAAUAUCUGAAACAGGCAGCGUGUAUAUUACUUAAAAGCCAUCAAAACUUCACCCUAUAAAUAAGACCCCCAAACCAAACACUCUCCUCACAACUUCAAACCAACCAAAUCUACAACCUAGACCUAACAAACCACCCAAAUUUACAACUUGAUCAGCACAUAACCAUGGCGAAGGCACAGGCAAUGGGCGCGCUCCUGACCGUCCUGGUGAUCCUCGCCACGUCGGCCGAGAUGGCGCACGGCAUCUGCAACCUGUCGAGCACCGGCAUCCGGGCGUGCCAGCCGGCGGCGGCCAUCCGCCACCCCACCGACCAGCCCUCGGCGGAGUGCUGCGCCGCCCUGGCGGGGGCAGACCUGCCGUGCCUGUGCCGGUACAAGAACGCCGCCGGCGUGUGGGUGAGGUUCUACAGGAUCGACAUCAACCGCGCCAUG
Molecule: long non-coding RNA, 7005 nt
Filed under: Setaria italica (foxtail millet)
Lineage: Eukaryota; Viridiplantae; Streptophyta; Magnoliopsida; Poales; Poaceae
Description: long non-coding RNA (SITA_LNC001056)
Source: RNAcentral